Molecule: ribosomal RNA, 466 nt
Filed under: uncultured bacterium
Lineage: Bacteria
Description: partial 16S ribosomal RNA
Rfam family: Bacterial small subunit ribosomal RNA
Source: RNAcentral
UCCAGACUCCUACGGGAGGCAGCAGUGAGGAAUAUUGGUCAAUGGGCGGGAGCCUGAACCAGCCAAGUCGCGUGAGGGACGACGGUCCUAUGGAUUGUAAACCUCUUUUGUCGGGGAACAAAGGCGCCCACGGGUGGGCGGAUGAGUGUACCCGAAGAAAAAGCAUCGGCUAACUCCGUGCCAGCAGCCGCGGUAAUACGGAGGAUGCGAGCGUUAUCCGGAUUUACUGGGUGUAAAGGGAGCGUAGACGGCGGCGCAAGUCCGGAGUGAAAGCCCACGGCCCAACCGUGGGACUGCUCUGGAAACUGUGCGGCUUGAGUGCGGGAGGGGCAGGCGGAAUUCCUAGUGUAGCGGUGAAAUGCGUAGAUAUUAGGAGGAACACCGGCGGCGAAGGCGGCCUGCUGGACCGUAACUGACGUUGAGGCUCGAAAGCGUGGGGAGCAAACAGGAUUAGAUACCCCCGUAU